This 435-nucleotide ribosomal RNA is filed under the name uncultured bacterium. Its description in RNAcentral is "partial 16S ribosomal RNA". It matches the Rfam family "Bacterial small subunit ribosomal RNA", at positions 29 to 507 of the family's 1533-position model. The record is from RNAcentral.
AACGAACGCUGGCGGCAUGCCUAACACAUGCAAGUCGAACGAUUGCCUUCGGGUGAUAGUGGCGCACGGGUGCGUAACGCGUGGGAAUCUGCCCUUAGGUUCGGAAUAACAGCUGGAAACGGCUGCUAAUACCGGAUGAUAUCGCGAGAUCAAAGAUUUAUCGCCUGAGGAUGAGCCCGCGUUGGAUUAGGUAGUUGGUGGGGUAGAGGCCUACCAAGCCGACGAUCCAUAGCUGGUCUGAGAGGAUGAUCAGCCACACUGGGACUGAGACACGGCCCAGACUCCUACGGGAGGCAGCAGUGGGGAAUAUUGGACAAUGGGCGCAAGCCUGAUCCAGCAAUGCCGCGUGAGUGAUGAAGGCCCUAGGGUUGUAAAGCUCUUUUACCCGGGAAGAUAAUGACUGUACCGGGAGAAUAAGCCCCGGCUAACUCCGUG